GAGAGAGACAGGGAUUGCAAGAACUGCUAACUCACUUGCCACUGUGGCUCAACUCCACAGCUCACUCA
Molecule: transfer RNA, 68 nt
Filed under: Leiopelma archeyi (Coromandel frog)
Lineage: Eukaryota; Metazoa; Chordata; Amphibia; Anura; Leiopelmatidae
Description: tRNA-Ser
Source: RNAcentral